This 253-nucleotide ribosomal RNA is filed under the name uncultured bacterium. RNAcentral's name for it is "partial 16S ribosomal RNA". It matches the Rfam family "Bacterial small subunit ribosomal RNA", at positions 524 to 776 of the family's 1533-position model. The record is from RNAcentral.
GACGUAGGUGGCGAACGUUAUCCGGAUUUAUUGGGCGUAAAGAGCUCGUAGGCGGCUUGUCACGUCGGAUGUGAAAGCCCGAGGCUUAACCUCGGGUCUGCGUUCGAUACGGGCUAGCUAGAGUGUGGUAGGGGAGAUCGGAAUUCCUGGUGUAGCGGUGAAAUGCGCAGAUAUCAGGAGGAACACCGGUGGCGAAGGCGGAUCUCUGGGCCAUUACUGACGCUGAGGAGCGAAAGCGUGGGGAGCGAACAGG